GAAAUGCGAUAAGUAAUGUGAAUUGCAGAAUUCAGUGAAUCAUCGAAUCUUUGAACGCACAUUGCGCCCGCCAGUAUUCUGGCGGGCAUGCCUGUUCGAGCGUCAUUUCAACCAUCAAGCCCCGGCGCUUGUGUUGGGGACCUGCGGCUGCCGCAGGCCCCGAAAACCAGUGGCGGGCUCGCUGUCACACCGGGCGUAGUAGAUCUCAAUCUCGCCCAGGGCGUGCUGCGGGUUCCGGCCGUUAAAAAGAGCCUUCUAAGGUUGACCUCGGAUCAGGUAGGAAGACCCGCUGAACUUAA
This 299-nucleotide unclassified non-coding RNA is filed under the name uncultured Sordariomycetes. RNAcentral's name for it is "sequence contains ITS1". The stretch from base 1 to 105 matches the Rfam family "5.8S ribosomal RNA", at positions 50 to 154 of the family's 154-position model. Lineage: Eukaryota; Fungi; Ascomycota; Sordariomycetes. The record is from RNAcentral.